Molecule: ribosomal RNA, 566 nt
Filed under: Salmonella enterica subsp. enterica serovar Bovismorbificans
Lineage: Bacteria; Pseudomonadati; Pseudomonadota; Gammaproteobacteria; Enterobacterales; Enterobacteriaceae
Description: bacterial SSU rRNA
Rfam family: Bacterial small subunit ribosomal RNA
Source: RNAcentral
AAAUUGAAGAGUUUGAUCAUGGCUCAGAUUGAACGCUGGCGGCAGGCCUAACACAUGCAAGUCGAACGGUAACAGGAAGCAGCUUGCUGCUUCGCUGACGAGUGGCGGACGGGUGAGUAAUGUCUGGGAAACUGCCUGAUGGAGGGGGAUAACUACUGGAAACGGUGGCUAAUACCGCAUAACGUCGCAAGACCAAAGAGGGGGACCUUCGGGCCUCUUGCCAUCAGAUGUGCCCAGAUGGGAUUAGCUAGUUGGUGAGGUAACGGCUCACCAAGGCGACGAUCCCUAGCUGGUCUGAGAGGAUGACCAGCCACACUGGAACUGAGACACGGUCCAGACUCCUACGGGAGGCAGCAGUGGGGAAUAUUGCACAAUGGGCGCAAGCCUGAUGCAGCCAUGCCGCGUGUAUGAAGAAGGCCUUCGGGUUGUAAAGUACUUUCAGCGGGGAGGAAGGUGUUGUGGUUAAUAACCGCAGCAAUUGACGUUACCCGCAGAAGAAGCACCGGCUAACUCCGUGCCAGCAGCCGCGGUAAUACGGAGGGUGCAAGCGUUAAUCGGAAUUACUG